AAUAUAUUAGUUUAAAAUAAAACGAUAAUUUGUGGAAUUACCAAUAGAAUAAUUAAAA
RNAcentral lists this transfer RNA (58 nucleotides) under Parachtes riberai. Its description in RNAcentral is "tRNA-His". The record is from RNAcentral. Lineage: Eukaryota; Metazoa; Arthropoda; Arachnida; Araneae; Dysderidae.